UACGGAGGAUGCGAGCGUUAUCCGGAUUCAUUGGGUUUAAAGGGUGCGUAGGCGGUUUUUUAAGUCAGUGGUGAAAUCCUGCGGCUCAACCGUAGAACUGCCAUUGAAACUGAAGAACUUGAAUAUAGUUGAGGUAGGCGGAAUGUGCAGUGUAGCGGUGAAAUGCUUAGAUAUUGCACAGAACACCGAUUGCGAAGGCAGCUUACCAAGCUAUUAUUGACGCUGAGGCACGAAAGCGUGGGGAUCAAACAGGAUUAGA
This 259-nucleotide ribosomal RNA is filed under the name uncultured prokaryote. Its description in RNAcentral is "partial 16S ribosomal RNA". It matches the Rfam family "Bacterial small subunit ribosomal RNA", at positions 524 to 782 of the family's 1533-position model. The record is from RNAcentral.